RNAcentral lists this long non-coding RNA (219 nucleotides) under Olea europaea (common olive). RNAcentral's name for it is "long non-coding RNA (OEUR_LNC010891)". Lineage: Eukaryota; Viridiplantae; Streptophyta; Magnoliopsida; Lamiales; Oleaceae. The record is from RNAcentral.
AUAUUUUUGACCUUAAUAUUAAAUAAUCUGUGACUUUAAUAUAUCAUCUGAGAGAUGAAUUGUAGGAGUUUGUUCAAAUUUGUGUCCUUUAUUCCUCGUCUGAGCUGUCAAUUGUAAUUUUGAUAGGUGAAUUGGUUAUAAUAGAGUCUAGGAAUUUCACAUUUCUAAAAUUAAAUCUUACUUGUUUAAAUAUUAAAUAUUAUUUAUUCUCUCUCCAAU